GCCCAGGAGGCUGGGCGCUGCUUGCACCUGGCACAGCCGCUGAGGGGGUCCCUGCGAAGGCGGCGCUGAUCCUGUCUGGCUUGGCCGGGGGUGCAGAGGCCGAGGCCUGUGCCAGCUCUGUGUCAGGUGUCUGUGCUGCUAGCAGCUGUGAACACCUCUUACGCUGCAGGAUUGCUGCAGGAACCUUCGCUGCUCAUGGGCCAGGUGCUGACUGCAGGGGAGAGGCCGUUUCUUCUUUAAGAAGCUGGGAUUUAGCUAAAUGCCUUCCUGCUUGUCCCGACAGCGAUGGCAGCAGGCACCAAGCACUGCACACAGUUGCUACCUGGUGGCGAGCGGGAGGUAAGGGACUUUUAAUACGUUUUUCCCUCUGUGCUGGUUUUGUGCUGAGGACUGUGCUACUGAGGCUGCUGCACGUAUUCAUGCAAACUCCUUCCCAUUUUUCAGUGGGUUAGCUGUCAGAAAAAUUUGGUUGGCAUUGCUGUCACUAUAGAGGACUAAACUAUUUAUUUCAGACAUAGACUUUGUGGACUGCAUAGCCAAGGAACUCUGUAGUAACUAACAGUGUUGGGGUUUGCAGUGCAUGAAAGCCAUUGGAAAAUAGAGCAGGGACAGGGCGUAUUAGAAAUAAAUUACACUGGUAAUAAUAUACUCAACAUUUUAUUAUAAAACCCUCUAAAGCGCCACUUUAUAGCUCACAGUUACGACAAAGGAAAUGCCUUGAGUUAAGAAAACAAUGGGGACACAGAGACAUUGUUUAACAUUUUUUUGUCUGGGAAACGUGUGUUGCUCAGGACUCGCCUACGUUUACCAUCCCCUGGCGGUCCCAGCAAGACCACCGAAGCUGACGGGGCUGCGGUGCGGGCAGCGGGGCUGCUCUCGCCCAGCGCUGUCUGGGUACCACUGUGAAAUGGCUGGACAAGCUCUGGCAGCUGACAGCGGGGUGCAAGGUGAGGGCACGGUGCUAUGUGUGUAUUUAGGGUGUGGACAGGGUCUCCUGCCAGCUCAUCGUGGGUCAAAACAAAAGCUUUGUGAUGGUGGCCGUGGCCCCCUUGUGCUUUGGAGCUGAAAGGCCCCUGGGUCCUGAGCCAGCAGUGGCAGCAGUUGAUUUGCAGGAGUUUUUCCUAUGUGCAAACCUUGCUGAGGGACAGGGCUGACAGCUGGGGCUGGUGAACCCCUCCUGAGGCCUGGGCUUACAAAUUCCUCAGUCAGUGCCACAGUAAAAAACAGGCACGAGGGCAUCCUUCUUGCCUCGGGGAUACCCUGCCUACGUGCUUUGCUGUGCCAAGGCUCCAUGGCAGCAGCGAGCAGCCUCCCGCACCCCUUCAUCCCCCAGCCAUCAGGCCUCUGUUCACGGAGAGGCCUCAUUUGGAGCUGAUCUCAGGCCCGUCAAAGGCUUUCAAGGGUUAGGAAGGUACAACGUUUUGCCUGUCUUUACCCUGGUUCUGGGUGCUGUUUGUCAGCGUAGCCGCAGGACCCCAGGGACAGCCCAGCCGGGUUAGCAGAGCUGCUUUGGCUUUGCAGGGUUGGAGACCACUGAGGCCCUGCAGUCAGCUCGGUUACCGAGCUGCAGGGCUGAAGGACCAGCAGAGGAGCCAGGCAGUGGUGUCUGCAGGCCUUCAGAUGUGACAGCAGGUCACGAGGAGGAGAGGGAAACAGGUGGAUGGAUUUCUGCCCUGUGCCUUCAAAUUUUACUGUCUCUAAGCUUACCAGUUCCAGGCACCUGACAUCGCUCAUUAAAAAGCUCGGCCAGAGAGGAGAGGGAUGAGCUCUGCAGGCCACAGCACCCAAAGGCUAUAUUAAGUAAGUUUAAUCAUCUGGAAAUAAGGGUGAUAGCACCAAGACAGCCAGCAGCCCACCAGAGACACGGAGGAGAACAGAUCCAGCACCCUCCUGCACCCAUGUGAAGGGUUCCUUUCCCACAGGGAGGUGUUCAGCAGAUUGUGCAGCUGCUGCUGCGCUGCAGCCCUGCAGGGACCAGAGAGCAUCACCAAAGUGGUGCUUGCAGCCAGGGCAGGAGCACAGGGACACUUUUACCUCCCCUCCCCUUGGAAGAGGCCAGCAUCAGGAUCCAGCAUCCUCAUCCAUCAGGUAAGCAGGCCUGGGCCUUUGGUAAAUUGGUAACAAGCCUUCAAAUAUGAUUUUCUUUUUCUUUUUUUUCUUUUUUUUCCAGAACUCCUCUGGAUGCUGUCUGAGAGAUCUUCUUUGCCCAGAGCCCUUGGUGCCACCAGGCUGUAAUAGAGCACAAGAAGGUGAGCAGGGAUCUUCCUCCGUAUUGUGGCAAAUCAACCCUGCUGCAGGCUGGUAGGAAGAAGGCCACGGUGUGAUGCAUCUGGUCACUGAAAAUCUCUGCUGCAGGUGUAGAUAUACUUAGUGCCCUGUUAUGCUGAGAGGAUCCUUCCCGCUGGUGUGUGCUUCUCAUCCGUGUCUCAGCCAUCGCUCAGGCCCGGGUACCUCCCCAGGCUGAAGGCUGGAUGAUCUGCAGCUGAGUGAUGACCAGCACCAACAGGUGAGACUUUACCUGAUUGGGAUUUGCUGUGACAGGU
This is a long non-coding RNA of Cygnus olor (mute swan), 2543 nucleotides long. RefSeq lists it as uncharacterized. NCBI's taxonomy places the organism in Eukaryota, Metazoa, Chordata, Aves, Anseriformes, Anatidae. The record is from RefSeq and is a predicted model, not a curated record. The transcript has 2 exons.